UUUAUCAAAAACAUGUCUCUUUGAAUUUUUUUAAUAAAGAGUUGGGCCUGCUCAAUGAUUAAUAUUAAAUAGCUGCGGUAUUAUAACUGUACUAAGGUAGCAUAGUAAUUUGCCUUAUAAAUUAGGGCUAGAAUGAAUGGUUUGACGAAAAUUAGACUGUCUCUAUUUUAUUUAUUAGAAAUUAAUUUUUAUAGUGAGAAAGCUUGAAUAAAUUAAAGGGACGAGAAGACCCUAUUGAGCUUAGAAUUAUUAUUUAAUUAAUGUGAUAAUUUAUUUAUUAGUUUAUUGAUAUUUAUUUAUGUAAUUUUGAUUGGGGUGAUCAAGGAAUAAAAGUUUAUAAUAACUUCCUUAGGAUUUUGUAAUUUAUAGAUUAAUAAACCAUAAUUUUGCUUAGAAGAUAAGUUACCAUAGGGAUAACAGCGUAAUUUUUUUUGAGAGUUCAUAUUGAAAGAAAAGAUUGCGACCUCGAUGUUGGAUUAAAUAUAACCUUAAGGUGAAGAAGCUUUAAUAGGUGAAUCUGUUCGAUUUUUAAAAUUUUACGUGAUCUGAGUUCAGACCGG
This 560-nucleotide ribosomal RNA is filed under the name Octopus fitchi. RNAcentral describes it as "partial 16S ribosomal RNA". It matches the Rfam family "Bacterial large subunit ribosomal RNA", at positions 1803 to 2619 of the family's 2925-position model. Lineage: Eukaryota; Metazoa; Mollusca; Cephalopoda; Octopoda; Octopodidae. The record is from RNAcentral.